UAGGGAAUCUUCGGCAAUGGACGAAAGUCUGACCGAGCAACGCCGCGUGAGUGAAGAAGGUUUUCGGAUCGUAAAACUCUGUUGUUAGAGAAGAACAAGGACGUUAGUAACUGAACGUCCCCUGACGGUAUCUAACCAGAAAGCCACGGCUAACUACGUGCCAGCAGCCGCGGUAAUACGUAGGUGGCAAGCGUUUUCCGGAUUUAUUGGGCGUAAAGCGAGCGCAGGCGGUUUCUUAAGUCUGAUGUGAAAGCCCCCGGCUCAACCGGGGAGGGUCAUUGGAAACUGGGAGGCUUGAGUGCAGAAGAGGAGAGUGGAAUUCCAUGUGUAGCGGUGAAAUGCGUAGAUAUAUGGAGGAACACCAGUGGCGAAGGCGGCUCUCUGGUCUGUAACUGACGCUGAGGCUCGAAAGCGUGGGGAGCAAACAGG
This 429-nucleotide ribosomal RNA is filed under the name Gemmatimonadota bacterium. Its description in RNAcentral is "Gemmatimonadetes bacterium partial 16S ribosomal RNA". It matches the Rfam family "Bacterial small subunit ribosomal RNA", at positions 355 to 776 of the family's 1533-position model. The record is from RNAcentral. Lineage: Bacteria; Pseudomonadati; Gemmatimonadota.